UUUCCGUAGGUGAACCUGCGGAAGGAUCAUUGAAUCUAUCGACCCACCCACUCCUACCAAGCGAACUUUACUGUCUCAAGCCCCGUCGGCCCCUUUGUCUUUGCCGUGAAAAGCGAAGGACAAGGCUUCCUGGCGGUGCGUCGUUAAGCUUUAACGAGCUGAUCGACGCAGGGUCGUUGUAAUAACGAUCAGGUGCACGGCUUAUGCUCUUUUGUUUCCUAACGGGGACUAUGAGAGAAAGCCAGUCGCCCACGAACUAGCACAGCGUGGGUGGUUAGGUGCACGCUCGACUCGGCAUUGUGUAUCUUCUCACCCUCAAACCAUUAUCUGAAGUAACCAAUCGUCGUGCAGACGGCUUGGCCGACUCGCACGCAUAAAUACCAAGACAACUCUCAACAACGGAUAUCUUGGCUCUC
Molecule: unclassified non-coding RNA, 416 nt
Filed under: plant metagenome
Description: partial contains small subunit ribosomal RNA, internal transcribed spacer 1, and 5.8S ribosomal RNA
Source: RNAcentral